RNAcentral lists this ribosomal RNA (1491 nucleotides) under Oedipina nica (Nicaraguan worm lizard). RNAcentral's name for it is "16S ribosomal RNA". It matches the Rfam family "Bacterial large subunit ribosomal RNA", at positions 440 to 2818 of the family's 2925-position model. Lineage: Eukaryota; Metazoa; Chordata; Amphibia; Caudata; Plethodontidae. The record is from RNAcentral.
AAUUAUAAAUUUAGCCACACUAAUUAUCCUCAACAACAUCACUUAAACCAUUUAUACAAACUAGUAUAGGCGAUAGAAAAUUAACAAGCGCAAUAAACAAUGUACUGCAAAGGAAAAAUGAAAUAGAAAUCAAAUAAACCAUAAAAAUAUAAUAAAGAAAAGAUUAAAACCUGUACCUUUUGCAUCAUGGUCUAGCAAGUAUUACCCAACAAAAAGAAUUUAGCUGGACACCCCGAAACCAAGCGAGCUACCUUAAGGCAAUAUAUGAAUGAACCUCUCUCUGUAGCAAAAGAGUAGGAAGACCAUAAGGUAGAGGCAAAAAACCUAACGAGCCUGGAGAUAGCUGGUUACUUGAGAAUGAAUUUUAGUUCAACUAGAAACACCAUUACCACUAAAGAAAAUUAACGUUUCUAUUAUAAUUAAUUAAGGUACAACUUAAUUAAUAAAGGAAACAACCUAUAUAAAUGAAUAACGAUUAUUACUUAUAAGGAUAACAUCUCAGUAGGCCUAAAAGCAGCCACCAACAAAAUAGCGUCAAAGCUUAAUUAACACUACCAAUUAUUCCAAUAAACAAUCUCAAUUCAAUAAAAAAAUCAAGUUAAUCUAUCUAUAGAUAAAUCAUUACUAGAAUGAGUAACAAGGACAACCUCAUUAUACAUGUGUAAAUCGAAACGAACCUAUCACCGAUAAUUAACGAUAAUACUUUAUAAGCAAGAUAAAAUAUUAUAAAUCGUUAACCCAACACAGGAGUAUUUAAGAAAGACUUAAAAUUUAGAAAGGAACUCGGCAAACUUGAACCCCGCCUGUUUACCAAAAACAUCGCCUUUUGUCAUAUAUCCAUAAAAGGUCCUGCCUGCCCAGUGACCCUGUUCAACGGCCGCGGUAUCAUGACCGUGCAAAGGUAGCGUAAUCACUUGUCUUUUAAAUAAAGACUAGUAUGAACGGCAACACGAGGGUCCAACUGUCUCACUAAAUUAGUCAGUGAAAUUAAUUUCUCCGUGCAGAAGCGGAGUUAAUCCUAUAAGACGAGAAGACCCUGUGGAGCUUUAAAUAUAAGCUAACAUUCACUAAUGCCAUGGUGUAUAAUUUUUGGUUGGGGCGACCAUAAGGAAAAACAAACCCUUAAGAUAUUAACUAGAAAGACAUUUCUAAAAAAUAGUAGUACUAACAUAUUGACCCAAUAAUUGAUCAACGAACCAAGUUACCCCAGGGAUAACAGCGCAAUCCACUCAUAGAGCCCAUAUCGACGAGCGGGUUUACGACCUGGAUGUUGGAUCAGGACCCCCCAAUGGUGCAGCAACUAUUAAAGGUUCGUUUGUUCAACGAUUAAAGUCCUACGUGAUCUGAGUUCAGACCGGAGUAAUCCAGGUCAGUUUCUAUCUAUAACUAGACUUUUCCAGUACGAAAGGACCGAAAAGCCAAGGCCAAUAAAAAUUUCAAGCCUUCAACUAACUUCUGAAAAUAAAUAAAGAAGUCAAUAAAACAUUCUAG